UACGAGGGGGGCGAGCGUUGUUCGGAAUUAUUGGGCGUAAAGGGUGCGUAGGCGGUUUGGUAAGUCUUAUGUGAAAUCUACAGGCUCAACUUGUAGUCUGCAUGAGAAACUGCCGGGCUUGAGUAUGGGAGAGGUGAGUGGAAUUCCUGGUGUAGCGGUGAAAUGCGUAGAUAUCAGGAGGAACACCUGUGGCGAAAGCGGCUCACUGGACCAUAACUGACGCUGAUGCACGAAAGCCAGGGGAGCAAACGGG
This 253-nucleotide ribosomal RNA is filed under the name uncultured bacterium. RNAcentral describes it as "partial 16S ribosomal RNA". It matches the Rfam family "Bacterial small subunit ribosomal RNA", at positions 524 to 776 of the family's 1533-position model. The record is from RNAcentral.